ACAAAAACCGGCCACUUCUAACAAAAAAAACACUCCAAAGAAUCACAACACGCGCGCCAGCAAACGCCACCACAGACGAAGUCCCACAUAAACUUUUGCUUUUAUAAUAUUGAGUGUGAUUAGUGUAAUGCAGUAGAGGUCAGCGUAUAAACACUUUCAUAAGAAAAAGAUAAAUUAAAUAUUGAGCUUGCCUUUAAAUUGUCUGAAGACCCGCACUUGGUGGUGCACUGCGGCCAACCCUUUCUAAUUGUAAAGGUGCUCAGUAGUGAACGGCGAUGGGUUCAUGAUGAUGACGAAUUUAAAUUGAGUGGUCAAAAACUGUGGAGUUCCAACGUGUUCGUGACCAUUUUAGAUUAUGAGAUUAAAAAAAAAAAAAAAAAGAAUAUUAGCCAUGCUAAUCAUUAAUAAUACUCCCCUUUCCUCUCCAAUUAAGCGUAAAGCUUGUGUCAGGAGUGGGUACGACAAUAGUGCAACGGGUGGGAUUUGAACUGCCCCGACCUUUCGGAAUUCAGUCCGCUCCUCAACCGUUGAGCUAUCGAGGCUCUAUUGCGUGACAGUUUCUGAUUUACAAUUCUAUUGAACUCUAUUUAAAUUAGAUAAGGUCGAUAUUUAACUACUGUUACAUUUUAUACUACCUAUACUAUACAUUAAUUAUAAACAUAAUAUUAUUCAGUAAAUAAUCAGUGACGGUCAAGUCUGUACGACUACGAUAUUCUAAGUACAUAACAAUAAUCUCGUGAAACAUUUUCAGUGACAUGGUAAGCCGUGAGAGGUCGUGAUAUGUAGUAAUUAUUGUUCGAGUGCAAUACAAUACAACUAUAUGAAAUGUUUAACAAAUCUAAUAUCUAACACAGAGUAGGCCUAGUAUGAGUCUGAACAUUUUGACAACGUUACUAAGUUCGAGUAUCGAAGCAUUCUUAUGUCAAAUUAAAAUGGACCUACGCUUCCUUUUAUAAGGUACAAAAUCGUGCAUAAUCUACGCGAACGCCUCAAUUUCACUCGACCAGUGACUGUGGGUGUAGGUAAAUUUUAUACACUUUAAAUUGACCUAAAGCUUCACUACUAUAGACUUUGAGCUACGAUACUCGAAAUUUAUCAGCGUUGUCGAGACGUUCAAAUUCGUACUAGUCUCGCUUUUCUUCUAGUGCUCUCUAAACACGAGAUAAGUACCUUUUUAGUAUGGCCGCCGAGUCUGUCGCGCCUAGCCUGUCUAAGGAUGCUUGUUCACUAAAGCGGGGCGGCGCGGUGUCAAUCGAUCAACCAGAUUUUUGAGAGAUGACGUAUUAAUUUUAUUACAUCCUCUCUCAAUGAAAUCUGACUGGUUGCUACACACAUCUCCGCUCCAAUUAACAAGCAACCUUGGGUAAGAUCUAUACAGCGCACUUUGACUAAUCUGAUAUUUUAAAGAGGCGCUUUUACAGAUGACUUAUAAGCCAGCCCCAUCAUUACACACAAAAUUAAUAUCAAACUACGAUUAAAUCUCAAACUAUAAUGAUUUAAUUAAAAUUCAGUUCACAUGCUCUGUUUCUCACAAAUUAUUGUUGCGAACACAUGCCAAUAGCAAGGGAACAUUACAUAGACAUAAAAUGAGACAGAUUUAUAGUUUUUACUCUGUCUAAGUCUGAGCAAAAUAAAAGUGCGCUCUAUAGAUAGAUCUCAGCCCACUCUUCACAGUAAAUGGCAGUUGACGUUAACUUACUCUAUCGCCUCAGAAGUGUAACUUUAGAGCAGAACAAACUAGAAGAUUGGCGAAAACUUUAACAUAAACAAUUUAGGCAGGAUUUAAAUUACAGAAUAGAAACAAAUAAUUUCCCUUCUCUACAAACGCAACUGAGCUUUUAUCUCGACUGCCUGCCCUCUAAAGAGGAGCGGAGAUGGGUUCAGUAAAUCAAACAAUUUUAUAAUCCUGUCGAAUCGUGACACACAUCUCUAACUUUUCGCAGUUAAAUGCGUCUUAAGAAAUUAAAUAGCAUUUGCUGUAACAGUGAAGGAAAACAUCGUGAGGAAACCUGCAUGUCUGAGAGUUCUCCAUGAUGUUCUCAAAGAUGCGUUAAGUCUGCCGAUCUGCACUUGGUGGACAAAAAUUUGAAUGAUGACACUUCCGCUCCGCGUCGCUCGUCUCUGCUCCAAUGGACAGAUAGCCUUACUAUUGACUAAACGCAGAGUUAGCACAAGAUAAGUCAUAGUUAAUCCUCCACCAAAUAUAAUUUUAUUAUUACUACAUAAAAGGCAUCAAAACAAAAAUUUUGCGACCUGCUUGUGGACUAACCUAUUAGGGACACAAAGUCAAAUAUUCCCUGCGGCAAGACUAAAGCCUUGGUCACACAAUGCGAGACGGCGGCAAAGACAAUACGGACUUUGACGUUGUUAUGAUGAUGAUGAAGUACUUUUAUUCCCUCGUGGAAUUUAGGGCUACAGCAGUUAUUUUCUACGUCUCCCUGUCUUUGGUUACUGCUUUGACAUGGUUCCACGAGAGCCUCACUAUUUUAAGGUCUACUUCAAUGAGCAUACACUUUUAAGUAUUUAAAGCCGUACUGAUGAUACCGUGUCGCGUUGUCUUUGACCAAACCUCAAAUGUUGAUACAUAACUUUUGUGCUGAAACCAUACAUUCAUGUAGCUACACUAGGCGAUAUACACAGAUCUUUUACAGUAUUAUUUACAAUUACAACUAUAAAAUAUUAUAAUUUAUAAUCUACAUAAAUAUAGAAAUGAUUGAGCCAUAACGACAAAAUCAAAUUCGUAAAUUAUGGCGCGUCUUCACACUAGAUUUAACCACAUACAAGCGUAGUAUUUCCGAAAAUACUAUUGCUCUACAAAAUGUAGGGUAGACCAACCCCCUAACUUCUUAUUCAUAAAGAAAUUAAACUGUAGCCUUGGGUUGAAAUCUAUAGAGCGCACUUUGGUUUUGCUUAGAAUUAAGUUUCAAUUAAAACGAGACAGAUUUAUGCCAGCAGUAUAACGCUGUCUUGUUGUAACAGUGUCUUAAGUGUGAGCAAAGUCAAAGUGCGCUUUAUAUAAUUUCACUGUUUGAGCCGGCGCCGGCGGCGCGGCGGCGCGGCGCAAGUAUGACGAGGCGCAGCGCAGAACACUUUUUAUCGCCAAUCCAUUUUCGAAUUUGCUAACGUUAAUUUAAAUCGAAAAUCAAUUGACAAAAUCGACUAGUAGGUAGUUAGACUUUCUUCUUUACUCUCGGCGAUAGUAUAGUUGUGUUAAUUGGUUUUCGAUAUUACGAGUUUAUCAAUGUUCGUAAAGAUGAUAAAAGUUUGGCAGUAAAAAUACUUUCCUCUGCGCAUCGCCAACUUUGCAGAGACCGUUAGAGCGCGGACACGAAAGACUUUAUUAUUUAAAUGAGUAAAGCAAAAUUAUAUAAUUACGCGUGUAUCCAAUUUAUAUUAAGUUAACUUAUCAUUUACUGAUUAUUAUCAUUAUUAUUUAAAAUGUAAUAUUAUAAAGCAUUUUUGGUCGGUUCUGUUUUGUUUAUUGUUUCACGGAGGUAGAAGGAAUUUUUUAAUAGUUAAAAUAUAAUAAUAUUUACAUUCUUUAUCAAAUAAAUAAAUAAAUGACUUGUGUAGCUCGUGGCUGUAAAGAAACGAAUCGAAACGAAGCGGCGCUAAUCAUCCGUCCCACUCGCACAGUAUACACAGGUAAUGUGAGUGAUUGAGAGGUAAUGGUUAACGCCGCCAUUUGUCGUUUCGUUAUUGACGCGAGUUAGACAACAUAACAAUGAAAUAAUAAAUAUUAAUACCACCCCCGACAACAAUAAUAUAAUAAUAACAUUUUAUAUUUUACUUAGUUAAGUGUUCAUCCGGUUGAACAAGAAAGCUAAUCAAAAUGGAGAGGUCAGCAUGCUUCCGUGGCAAGCAUUGUUUAAGGACGGCCAUUACAUGUCACUUAGAUUUAGAUUAAGGCUGAGAUCUAUAGAGCACACUUUGACUUUGCUUAGACUUAAGAUGCUGUUAAAACGAGACAGCGUUAUACCGCUAUCUCGUUUUAACUGAAACUUAAGUCUAAGUAAAGUCAAAGUGCGCUCUAUAGAUUUCAACAUGAGAUCUUUUAGAGUAUACUUUGACUUUAAGCCUUCAGAGAAUGUUAAGAUGUUUAACUCUAAGAAAGUAUGAACAAAGUGUGCUCUAGCCAGAAACUCAUGGAAUAAGAGCCAGCGCGUGCCAGACCUUCGUUAUUUUAUAAAAGCUGAAAGUUUAUCUGCAUAUUGUCCCCAACACAUGGAGGAACGAUCAGCGACUAUGAAGUUUGGAUCAUGUUGGCUUUCAAGGAUACCUCUAAAUUAGUAUGCUAUUUCUUGGCUUCCUGUACAUUUUAUUGUCAAACAGAGAAAAGCAUGAUGGACAGUUUAUUAUGUACUUUCCAAACUAUAUAUAGACUUUAAUAUGAUCUUAUAUUAACAUAAUAUAAGAAAUAUAUUAUGAUACACUUACAAGAGCAUUUUAAAUUUAAAAAUAAAUACACAUAAAAUCACAUAACCUUAUUGUUAGAAUCAGUUUUAACUGAUAUUUACUUACUUGAUAUUUCACGUAUUAUAAGAUAAUAUUAUUACAGAA
Maniola jurtina (meadow brown) is the source of this 4560-nucleotide long non-coding RNA. RefSeq lists it as uncharacterized. The record is from RefSeq and is a predicted model, not a curated record. The transcript has 2 exons. Lineage: Eukaryota; Metazoa; Arthropoda; Insecta; Lepidoptera; Nymphalidae.